RNAcentral lists this unclassified non-coding RNA (279 nucleotides) under Hevea brasiliensis (rubber tree). The record is from RNAcentral. Lineage: Eukaryota; Viridiplantae; Streptophyta; Magnoliopsida; Malpighiales; Euphorbiaceae.
AGACCAAAAAAGAGGUAUUGAACCGCGGUUCUGUACAACAGAAGUUGCUCCAAAAGGGGAUCCUUCAGGUACAUCUUCGAAUACAAUUUGUUCCGUCUCAACAUCAUUUGCUACACGGCCCUUCUCAUUUACUCCUCUUUUUAAAUAUCUGGUACCAGCAUAAUGGCGAGACCGUCUAGCAAUAAGGGUUAAGAUGAAGUCUUGCGAAGAAAUUUUAAAUGUAGCCUGCUUAAAAAACCCAUAGACUAAUGCGACAGUCCAUUUAGUAUUUUGGAGUUG